CACGUAGUUAGCCGUGACUUUCUGGCGGGGCACCAUCAGUCAGCACCCAUUUCCUGAUGCUGCCUUUUUUCCCCCGCAACAGAGCUUUACGACCCGAAGGCCUUCUCCACUCACGCGGCAUCGCUCGUUCAGGCUUGCGCCCAUUGACGAAAAUUCCCUACUGCUGCCUCCCGCAGGAGUCUGGGCCGUGUCUCAGUCCCAAUGUGGCCGUCCGCCCUCUCAGGCCGGCUAUGCAUCAUCGUCUUGGUGGGCCUUUACCCGCCAACAAACUAAUGCACCGCAGGUCCAUCCGCGCCCCAUCCCCGAAAGGAUGUUUCACAGAAAGAGAUGCCUCCUCCUGACAUCGGGAUUUGUCUCCGUUUCCAGAGCGUAUUCCCGGUGCGACGGGCAGGUUCCCUAGUGUUACUCACCCGUUCGCCACUAGACGACCCGAAGGUCUCUCGUUCGACUUGCAUGUAUUAGGCAGUCGCCGCCAGCGUUCACUCCUGACGACCCAGGACUCGUAAA
Molecule: ribosomal RNA, 507 nt
Filed under: uncultured Erysipelotrichaceae bacterium
Lineage: Bacteria; Bacillati; Bacillota; Erysipelotrichia; Erysipelotrichales; Erysipelotrichaceae
Description: partial 16S ribosomal RNA
Source: RNAcentral